GUCGAGGGGUAUAGUUCUUCGGAACUAGAGACCGGCGCACGGGUGCGUAACGCGUAUGCAAUCUACCUUUUACAGAGGGAUAGCCCAGAGAAAUUUGGAUUAAUACCUCAUAGUAUAUAGCCCUGGCAUCAGGAUUAUAUUAAAGUCACAACGGUAAAAGAUGAGCAUGCGUCCCAUUAGCUAGUUGGUAAGGUAACGGCUUACCAAGGCUACGAUGGGUAGGGGUCCUGAGAGGGAGAUCCCCCACACUGGUACUGAGACACGGACCAGACUCCUACGGGAGGCAGCAGUGAGGAAUAUUGGACAAUGGGCGCAAGCCUGAUCCAGCCAUGCCGCGUGCAGGAUGACGGUCCUAUGGAUUGUAAACUGCUUUUAUACGAGAAGAAACACUCCUUCGUGAAGGAGCUUGACGGUAUCGUAAGAAUAAGGAUCGGCUAACUCCGUGCCAGCAGCCGCGGUAAUACGGAGGAUCCAAGCGUUAUCCGGAAUCAUUGGGUUUAAAGGGUCCGUAGGCGGUUUAAUAAGUCAGUGGUGAAAGCCCAUCGCUCAACGGUGGAACGGCCAUUGAUACUGUUAGACUUGAAUUAUUAGGAAGUAACUAGAAUAUGUAGUGUAGCGGUGAAAUGCCUUAGAGAUUUCAUGGAAUACCAAUUGUGAAGGCAGGUUACUACUAAUUGAUUGACUCUGAUGGA
Molecule: ribosomal RNA, 692 nt
Filed under: uncultured bacterium
Lineage: Bacteria
Description: bacterial SSU rRNA
Rfam family: Bacterial small subunit ribosomal RNA
Source: RNAcentral